RNAcentral lists this ribosomal RNA (207 nucleotides) under uncultured bacterium. Its description in RNAcentral is "partial 16S ribosomal RNA". It matches the Rfam family "Bacterial small subunit ribosomal RNA", at positions 568 to 774 of the family's 1533-position model. The record is from RNAcentral.
CGUGUAGGCGGGAAUACAAGUCAGAUGUGAAAUACUGCGGCUCAACUGCGGAACGGCAUCUGAAACUGUAUUUCUUGAGUACUGGAGAGGAAAGCGGAAUUCCUAGUGUAGCGGUGAAAUGCGUAGAUAUUAGGAGGAACACCGGUGGCGAAGGCGGCUUUCUGGACAGUAACUGACGCUGAGACGCGAAAGCGUGGGGAGCAAACA